RNAcentral lists this long non-coding RNA (43096 nucleotides) under Populus tremula. RNAcentral's name for it is "long non-coding RNA (PTRE_LNC000158)". The record is from RNAcentral. Lineage: Eukaryota; Viridiplantae; Streptophyta; Magnoliopsida; Malpighiales; Salicaceae.
AUAGGUCGCCUCCAAUGCCUCAAAGAAGUCCACCACCUCCUCCUUCAUCUGGGGGUGGGGGAGGUGGGGGACAGCUUGGUGCUUUCUGGUCAACGCAUCACGCAAAGGAUUCACUGUUUGUUGAAGACAAGAGCAGACCUAAAUUUGAUGAAGAACCUAGCCAUAACACAUCACAACAAGAUACGAAUCAGUCAGAGAAUCGCAGUUUUCCCAAAAACGCUAGCCCUGCAAAGCAGGAAAAUGUACAUACCAUUGUGGCUGGUAGGAGGAAUGUGCAUAAUAAAUCACAUGUGCCUGAGGAUGGUGCUUCCAAGGACUUUGAAUUAACUUUCUCUCAGAAAGAUAUGGAUCAUGGCAUGGAGAGGCCAAAAGCAUCAAAACCGGCUGCUACUCGUUUAUUUCAAGAUGAGGCUUUUAGUACUUUUGUUGCUGAAUUUGAUAGCAAUAAGCUCAACCCAAGAGUUAGUAAUGACAAAGAAGGAAAGGAAGAAGCACUAGAGGCUGAAAUAGAGAGGCUUAAAGAGCAGCUGAAGCAGGUAAACUCUGAGAAGGCCGAAAUAACUUUGAAAUUUGAAAAGCUAUCUGCCAUUUGUCGAUCUCAGAGACAGGAGAUACAGGAGCUCAAGCAAACACUAGCUGCAAGAACUCCUUCACCGAAUAAAUAUCAAGCCUCGUCUAGAAUUCAACCAUCUGCAAGUCCUCCGGUAUUAUUUUCAUUGAUGUUUUCACCAUUGUAGUUGUUAUAGAGAUCCAUUUGUCUUCUUGUUUUUACAAUAUUUAAUCUCAUCCCAGCAAGAAAAAUCUGACUGGAGUACCCCAAGCCCAGAGUCAAAGUCAUGGCAAGCAUUUGCAGAUGAUAACAAGUCACGGCAGAAGCCUGUUUCAAAAGGCAACAGUCCACAGUCUGUUAGAACCAGAAACGCACACCAGAAUAAGCAGGCUGCUGAAUUAACAUCUAAUAUUGAUUCGUGGGGUUUUGGAUCAGAGAGUUUUACAGCUGUUCCUGCUGCCAGCUCUCAAAUUUCAGGAUCUAAUACUGAAGUGCACUCAGGUGGGUCAAAGAUUAUGGAGAGCCAGCCAGCUACUCAACCUGCUGGAUGGGCUGGUUUCUAGCUCAAGUCAUUUGUGAAGCUAUAUAAGAAGGUAUACUUACAUUAGAACCAUUAUGUUUUUCCUAAGAGAUAAAUAUAGGGAAAAGUGAGAAAUAUAUGGCUUUCUGGGCUUGUUUGUUGUAUUGAGUGCUUCUGUUUGUAGAUUCACAUUUUUCUAUAAAGCAUUUGAAAAUGUUCUCUGGAUUAGAGGCAAACUACAAAUAUAUACUUUUCUGCAUGUCUCAAUUGUUGGGUGAAAAAUGUUCUUCUUGUCAGUUCUUUUGUUGCUUGCCGUUGUGUUGCUAUUGUUUGGCCUGUUGCAAGCUGUCAGAUUUUAUUUUUACUCUUUCGUGUGCAAAAUGGGAUUGCUUCAGUUAUGAGACUGAAUGUGCUGAGGAAGGACUAACCUCUUCGAGUGGCUAGUUUUCCGUGGUGGAUUUGGCCGAUAGUUCCUUGUGGUCAUAACCUUGGUUUGCGUUUCAAGUUAAUGAAGUUGCAUGGUGGGAAGUUGGCAGGUCAGGAAACCAGAAUACUAUGCUUAAUGGUCCCACACAGACACAUGGAGACAAACGUUUUGUUCCUUGAUGUUUUUAUUAAAAGGAUUUAUAUAGUUUUUGAGUAAAUUAUUAUUUAUUCUGUUUUUUUUUUAGCAAAACAAUUAGUUACUUUUCUUUCCAAAACAUAAUUUUACCAGAAUUAGAUAAUCAAACUGUAAAUAUCAAAAAUAAAUAACCAUACUGAAAUUUCACCUAUUAUCUAUCCUUAAUUCUGUCCGGAAUCAAUUAUCAAAUUGAGAUUUAUUAUCCUUAACCUCAUAAGAAUACUUUCUAAAAUUCCCAAAUAUAUUUCAUGAGUUAAAUUUCUAAAAUUUAAGGACUGUAUUGUAAUUUUUAUAACUCAAUGAUCAAAAUAAAAUUUUAUCAUCUUCAACCUCAAGACCAUUUUAUCUAUCUAGAUUUUCCAGCAAAUUUGAAAUAAAUUUCUUAACCCAUAACAAAUCAAUUUACAAAUUUUUAUUUUUAGCGACACAUCUAAAAUCAAUCACUUAAUCUUUAAUAAUUAUGAAUCAAUCUUAACAACAUAAACUUCAAAUCUUUAUAAACUAUAAUCUAUUCUUUAAUUAUUCUAUAAACAAACUAUAAUCAAAAGUAACAUGAGAGGGAACCACUUACUUAUUACUUCAUCUUUUUUAAAUAUGAAAAACUAAAGAUAAAAAACUGAAAUUCUUGGUUUAAUAAGGGGAGGGUCAUGACAAUCACAAGAAUUAAAAGAGAGAAAAAUAAUUAUCCUUCAACUUUUUUUUAUAUAACCAGGUUAACUUAGGUUGGAUUUGGGUUAAAAAUUUAGGUUUUAUAUUUGUGUUGAUUAUUGUCUCAUAAUAAAAUGAAUUUAGUUUUUGAGUGAAUUUUAAAAUAAGAGGUAAAAUAAAACAUCUCAUUUCUAUUUUUACCGUCUUCCCCCCCCCCCGAGACAAUACUGGAAAUGUCACUAGCGAGAUAUCAUUUGUGCCUUUUCUCAUAACUUAUAAGGGCCUUUCCUCGUUUUUUUUGUAAUUAAUAUAUGUUUGUUUUCUGGAAAGUAAUUUUUGGAAAAUUACUUUUCAAACUUUUCUGUGUUUAUUUGCCAUUAGAAAAGCUGGUCAACAGAAAAUACUUUCCAGUCAAAGGAAAAUUUAGCUUGGUUUUCAGGAAAGUGUUUUCCUGAAAAAUUUGGACGAAAAACACUUUUGGAAGUUAUGAAAAAUUUAAAAAUAUCAUAUUAUUUGCUGAUUAUAUCAAAUUUGGUCCUCAAACUUUUGAUUGCUAUGUAUAUUUUGUUUUGAAUAUUUAUUUUUCAAUUUCAUCUCUUAAAAUUUAAUUUUUAUAUUAACUUUGGUUCUCAUUUUUUAUAAUUGUUAUUUAUUUUUUUCUUAUUAUUUUUUUAUUGAAAUUUUUUAUCUAUCAAAUUUGAUCCUUAAUGUUUUAAUUGUUACUUAUUUUAUUUGAAAUAAUUUAUGAAAUUUUAAUUAUUAUUAUUUUAAUUUCUUCAUCUUUUAUCUUUUAUUUUUUAUUUUUUAGAUUUGAUCUUUAUUAUUUUGAUAAUUAUUUAUUUUAUUUGAGAUAAUUUAUGAAGUUAUAUAUAUAUUUUUAAUUUCAUUCUCAUUCAAAUUUUUAAUUUGUAAGACUUGUUCCUCAUUAUUUUAAUAAACUUGAGAAAAAUAAAAUAUUAAUAAGUUAUUUUCCAGCUAUUUUCCAUGAAAUAGAUAAACACUGGAAAAUAUUUUUCAAUUUAUUUUUCAUUACACUACCAAACAUCAUAAAAUAAUUUAUUUUUCUUGAAUUCACUUAAAAUUUACUUUCUAAACAAAAUUACUUUUCAAUAAAUAAACAGGCUAAAUAGUAUUGCUGGCAAUUUAUUGGUCAGGAGCGAAGAGGUCAGGAACAAAGAGUGUGUAGUUUCAUAGAUUCAGGAGCCGAUAUAGAAAGGAAGGAAUCACGGAGCACGUGCUUGAUAGAAUGCUACCUCUUGUCAUCUGAAAAACCUUCUUCUCCCUCUCCCGGAAAUGUUUAUGAGUGUCUAUUAAUUGUUUUUAUAAGUAUUUGUUUUAUAAAAAUAUAUAAAAAUAAUAUUAUUUUUAUUUUUAUUUUUAAUUAUUUUAAUAUCAGUAUAUUAAAAUAAUAUAAAAACAUAAAAUAUAUUAAUUUAAAUUAAAGAAAAAAAUAAUUUUUUUUAAAUUUUUUUAAAAAUAUUUUUAAAAUAUAAAAACAAACCGAUAAAGGAUUUAGAAAAAUUAAGCCUUGACUAUUGUUCUUGAUGAAAAAUCCAGACAUUCGUUAGCUGUCCAAAGAAGAACAAAGAUUGAAAUAGGAGUGUAAGAAGGUUGUUUAUUUCAAUUAUUGUUCGAUAUAUAAUCGUCAAAGAGACAGCAAGUGAGGCAUGGGUUCACAUGGCCUUUUAUUCUCUUGGCCUCCUUGGUGAUAUGAGACCACUUAUGAUGAUACAUGUAGUCUUUUUAUAUCUCAUGGUACUAAUAACGAACAUCUUUUUUUUUUUUUUUUCUAGUAUUAUUUUUAUUUUAAAUUUAUUGUAUUUGAACCUAAAAAUAUUUAAAUUUAUAAUAAAUAUUUAUUUGUUAUAUUAUUUAAAUUUUAUAUAUAUUUUAUUUUUAAUAGGUUUUAAUAUAUUUUAUUUAUUUUUAUGCUUCUGUUCAAUAAACAUUUUUAAAAAUAUAUUUUAAAUUAGUAAUGAUUAAUUUUUAGAUGGACCUCUUCUGUCGAUGUAUUUUAAAGAUUUGAAAAAAUAUUACUAUAAAUACCAUUAUUAUUAAAAACUCUCUGAAAAAUUAUAAAUGAUAUUGUGUCAGUGAGAGAUUAUAUUUAUCAACAAAUAUACCAAUAAAAAAAAAUAAAAACACCAAUAUAAUUAUAUAUAAUUUUUAUGUAGUAAUAUGUUAAAAAAGAAUAUGAGGAAUAAAUUGAAAAAACAAACUCGGCCCGACUCCUUGCUUAUUCUUGGUUUAAAAUUAAAUUGUGUGGAGAUUGUUUUAAUAUGAUCUAGUUGAUUUGGCCAGUCCAAAAAUAUUCUGACUGACUUGUAAAAAAAAAAUCUAAGAAUAAAAUUAAAAAAAAAUUUCACUUAAAAAAUUUUAUGACAUAACUUUCUUGCCUAGCUUGGGUUUUUUUUUUCCUGUGCCUAAAAAUACAAGCUUUUGCAGCCAGGGCUCAUGGAAAACUUAAUGGAUUGUAUGCACUGGAGAGAGAUAUCGAUGUAAACAUUUUUUUUAGUGAUAAAAAAAUGUUUUAAUAAUUUUUUUUAGGGCUCAUGGAAAAUAAUUUUUUAAAAUUUAUUUUUAAUAUUAUCAAAUCAAAGCCAUUAAAAACAUAUUUAAAAAAGUUAAUUUGAAAAAAAUAUUAUAAAAUUGAAUGAAAAGUUGAUUUAACAAUGACUCUCAACGGUGUCUUAAUAGAAAUCUCUAAAAUAUUACAAAAUUCAUGUUGCGAUCAUGUGAUAUUUUAGCUUCUGUUCUUGCCAUAAGAAAUCAAUACUCAACUUCUAGCUAAUUUAGAGCCCACAAGAUAAUAUUAAAGUGUUUAAAAUAUUGAAUCAAAACUUAAAAAAAACCCUUGCGAAACAAGCAAAACAUACCGACCAAAACUAAAAGAGCAAGAAUACUAUACUCAACAAAGUACACCUGCCAACAUAAACUGAGAAUCUAAAACAAUAUUAAAAAAUAACAAGUGAGUUCAACCAACUUGGUAAGGAUAUAAUAUUUAAUAUACAUUUUAGAUAUUAAUAGUUUGCAAGUAUAUUUAUCUAGAUAUACAUGUACAUAUUAAGAAAAUUAUUAUAACAUAGUAGAAUACAUGUCAAAGACCGAAUGACACCCAAAGAUAUACACUAUGUGAGGAUCAGUCGUCAAAGGCUAAUGCCUCCCUCACUAGCUAGGUAUAUAAAAUGUUAUGUGUAUGUAAACUAACUACUCUCCGUUAGCAUGGAGUUACUAACAAGUUUUAUAUCAAGGCAUAAUAGAUAUUCACAUAAUUAUCAAAGUAAUGUAUAUCAUAUUGAAUAAAAUUUAGUUCAAAAUAUAAUGUGAGUGCAAAUUCAAGAAUAGAUAAAUACUAAAAAAAUAAAGCAACAAAUAUAAAUAUUGAAUAAAUUAACUAGUCAUACUCAUCAUAUAAUUAUCAUACAUACUUAUUUAUACAACAAACAUAUUAAAAAUUAUUUCACUCACCCGGAAAAUUUAGAAGUAAAAGGAAUAUCAAAUGAAAGACUCGAAAAUCCUAUUGAUGAUCGUUAGAAGUACCUACAAUGAAUAUACAAAAUAUAAUAAAAAAUAACUUAAAACAACAUAAAUAAAAGACUCUAAUGCAUAAAAGAAACCUAGGUUUAGUCUCCUAAGUUUAGGGACUAAAACGAUAAUUUUUAGAAAUCAAGGACCAAAACAUAAUUUUACCAGAAUUGGACAACCAAACUGUAAAUGUCAAAAUACAUAACCAUACUGAAAUUUUACCCAUAAUUCAUUCUCAAUCUUGUCAAGAAUCUCAAUUUACGCUCCAAGGACCAAAUGCAAUUUUUCAAAGUUCAAUGACUAAACUAUAAACCUUCACUUAACAAUACACCCAAAAUCAAUCACUUAACCUUAAACCCAUAAUAAUUAUGAAUCAAUUUUAACAACAUAAACUUUAAAUCUUUAUAAACCAUAAUCUCUUAUUUAAUCAUUCAAUAAACAAACCAUAAUAAAAAAUAACAUGAGAGAGAACCCCUUGUUUAUUACUUUCUCCUUUCUUGAAUCUUUAUAAAUAAACCAUAAUAAAAAGUAACAUGAAAAAGAACCACUAAAUUAUCUAAAAACACUUAAGAUAAAAUACUGAAAUUCCUAGUUUGAUGAAGGAAGGGUCACAACAACCACAAUAAUUAGAAAAUAAAAAAUGAUUCUUUUGUAACUUUUCUUAUAUACUUAGAUUAAUUUAGGUGGGGUUUGAACAAACAAUUUGGAUGUUUUAUUUGAGUUGAUUAUUGUCUCAUAAUGGAAUGAAUUUAGUUUUUGAGUGAAUUCGUAAUUUCAAAACAAGAGUUACAAUAAAACAUCUCAUUAUUUUCACUGUCUUUGUUUUUUCUGAGACAAUACUAGAAAUGUAAUUGGCGAGAUGUCGCUUGUGCUUUUUCUCAAAAUUUAUUAAGGCCUUUCCUCGUUUUUUGGUAAUUAAUUAUGUAGAAUUGCCGGCAAUUCACUGGUCAGGAGGGAAGAUGAUGUAGAACAAGUAGCGGAAGCAUACAUGCUCAAGAGGGAUCACCUGAAAUUCAAAGGCAACUGAAUUUCGACAGCCGGGGCGUCGAAAGUCGGAAUGCCGCGAAACUCACCGGGUCAAUGCGUUUCGCCGUUUGGCCAAAUUCCAUCGUUUCGGCCCCGAAAUUGUCAUUUUUGCCAUUUUAGGAAAAUUUUGUUUUAGCCAUAACUUUUGAUUUCCAAGUCCGAAUUGACUUUCGUCAAUUCCUGCUUGCUCAAGAUUUAUAGGCCUUUCAUAUUCUGCAUUUAUCUCAAAUUUGCCAUUUAUGGUAAAUUUAAUGUUUUAUGUCGUUUCCUUAUCCGUCAUGAGUUUAGGUUAAGGUUUUGCUUUAAAUACCAUUGUAAAGCCUAUGGGCCGAACUACUUAAUUAUUAUUGAAUAAAAACCUUUGAGUUUUCUGAGAGUUUCUCUCGUUUUAGACAAUUUUACGGAAUAUUGACGUUGGUCGUAUUCCUUCACUGUUUACUGCUGUGUCAAUUGGUAUCAGAGCCUGGUUUUGCCGAACUCGAUGGCGAAUAACAAAGCAGGAGAUGAAAACUCUAUUGGCGGAGACCAUGGAGUAGAGGCCUUAUGGGCGGCAGUGGAGGAGACGCGGCAACAAGUAGCGCAGAUCCGCGAGAUGCUUGCUGCCGGGGUUAACCUCAACGCCAAUAACAGGCCACCAGUUAACAGGGCUCGUGCCGAAGGAAUUGCCAGAGGCCAAUCUAUUGAUAGAAGACGCAACCCAGCACCUCGCAUCCAACCUGACAGCGAGGAUGAUUCAGAUGAAGAAGAUGACAUGGGGUACGGUUUACCUCCACCUGCGAGACGUCCAAGGGAGCAAGAAGAUUAUCGCCUGAAAGCAGAUCUGCCCAGUUUCAAUGGGAAUCUGCGAAUUGAAGAUUUUCUUGAUUGGGUUACCGAAGUGGAGCGAUUCUUUGAGAUGAUGGAGAUACCAGAAGAAAAGAUGGUGAGGUUUGUAGCCUUCCGAUUGAAGGGAGGGGCUGCAGUAUGGUGGGAUCAAUUACAGAAGAAUCGGCAGCGACAAGGAAAGGCGCUUGUAAGGACUUGGCGUAGGAUGAAGCAACUGAUGAUAGGGAGGUUCCUGCCACUAGAUUAUGAACAAUAUCUAUUUCAAGUACUUCAAGACGGCUCACAAGGAUCCAGAUCUGUGUUUGACUAUACUGCGAAGUUCUCUAGGCUCUUGGAGCGAAACAAUCUUAACGAGACAGAGGGGCAGCGCAUAGCCAGGUGCAUGAAUGGAUUGAAGCCGUCAUUGCGAGAUAAGAUUGGAUUACAGGUGGUUUGGACUGUGGAGGAAGCUCAUAAUCUGGCAUUGAAGGCUGAACUGAUGGAGCGAAGAGGAGGAGUCUCAGGGUUUCGCUGAAACAAUCCAGAGUCUUUGUUUAAUACCAGAGACAAGGGUGGCAACAACAGCCAAGCAGGCGUGUUGAGUCAGAACAAAGAAGGAGGCAACAACAGCAGCAGCCAAGCAGCCCAAGGCAACAGGAAUAUACCUAGAAAUCCAAACCAGAACAUGAACACGAACUUGAAUCCUAACCCUUACGCCAGACCUGCACCUGGAGUCUGUUAUCGCUGUCGGAAACCUGGGCAUCUUUCAAACACUUGCCCAGAUCGUGGCAGACCUGUCAACUGGAUUGAAGGAGAAGGAGGGGAUCUGGAGGCUACUGGAGAGGAUGCAGGGGAGGAUGACUGUUAUGAGGGGGUGGAGAACAAAUCAAUUGUGUAGUGCAUCAAAUUUUAUACACUCCAAGGCAAGAUGACGCAGGGCAGCGGAAUAACAUCUUCCGCUCAUACUGCACCGUGAGCUAGAAGGUGUGCGACUUAAUUGUGGAUAGCGGGAGUUGCAAGAACUUUGUUGCAAGGGGCCUAGUUGAGCACCUAAAGCUACCAAUCGAGAAGCACCUGACUCCAUACACUAUCGGCUGGAUCAAGAAAGGACCCACGGUGAAGGUAACUGAAAUCUGUCGCGUUCCUAUUUCCAUUGGAAAAAUAUAUAAAGAUGAGUAGUUUGCGAUGUGAUUGAUAUGGAUGCUAGUCAUGUGUUGUUGGGUCGGCCGUGGCAGUAUGAUGUUGAUAUUACCUACAAGGGUCGGGAUAAUACUUAUUUGUUCACGUGGGGGUCACAUAAAAUUGCUAUGGCUCCUUACAAAAGGAAGGCACUGUCCGGAAGGGUUUUUGAAGUGGAGAAGCAAUUGUUUUUUACAAUGUCCAAUUCGGAAACAGAGUUUGUGACAGACAUCAAGGGUGCGCCAGAGUUCUAUGCGCUUGUAGUGAAGGCCCUCGUGGUGGAAGGGGAAGCUGAGGCUUCGGUGACAGUCCCUGACAGGCUGAAACCAUUGAUAGAUCAGUUCAGGGAUAUCACUUCGGAAGAAUUGCCGAAUAAUCUACCGCCCUUGAGAGAUGUCCAGCACCAUAUAGACCUCAUACCGGGGGCCAGCUUGCCAAAUCUGUCUCAUUAUCGGAUGAGUCCGAAAGAGAACGAGGUCUUGAGGGAGAAAAUUGAAGAGUUGUUGCAGAAGGGUUUUAUCCGCGAAAGCAUGAGUCCGUGCGCGGUUCCUGCGUUGUUAACACCAAAGAAAGAUGGGAGUUGGCGUAUGUGUGUGGACAGCCGAGCUAUCAACAAGAUAACCGUCAAGUAUCGCUUCCCAAUUCCCCGCCUAGAUGACAUGUUGGAUCAGCUUGAGGGUUCGAAGUUAUUCUCAAAAAUUGACCUCCGCAGUGGAUAUCACCAGAUUCGGGUCAGACCAGGGGACGAGUGGAAGACACAUUCAAAAGCAAAGACGGGUUAUAUGAGUGGCUGGUUAUGCCGUUUGGGUUAUCAAACGCGCCCAGCACUUUUAUGCGCGUGAUGAAUCAGGUAUUGAGGCCUUUUGUGGGGAAAUUUGUUGUCGUUUAUUUCGACGAUAUCCUUAUCUAUAGUAAGACCGCGGAUGAGCAUGUGGAGCAGUUACGGGAUGUGUUGGCAGUGCUACAAGAGAACCAGUUAUUCCUUAAUCUGAAAAAGUGCAGCUUUAUGACAGAAGCUUGUUGUUUCUGGGUUAUGUUGUCAGUUCAGAGGGGAUUCAUGUGGAUGAAGAGAAGGUCCGAGCAAUUAGAGAAUGGCCUGCACCAAAGACCGUGGGUGAAGUUCGGAGCUUCCACGGAUUAGCCACUUUCUACCGCCGAUUUAUUCGGAAUUUCAGUACUGUCAUGGCACCGAUAACCGAGUGCAUGAAGAAAGGCAAAUUUCAGUGGGGGGAAGAGGCAGAAACGAGCUUUGCGUUGAUAAAAGAGAAGCUGUGCACUGCUCCAGUAUUGGCCCUACCUAGUUUUGAGAAGAUUUUCGAAGUUGAAUGUGAUGCGAGUGGCGUGGGAAUUGGGGCUGUGCUGUCCCAGGAGAAACGACCAAUAGCUUUCUUCAGUGAGAAGUUGAGUGAGGCUCGCCAGAAGUGGAGUACGUAUAACCAAGAGUUUUACGCGGUGGUCCGAGCUUUGAAGCAUUGGGAACACUAUCUAGUGCAGCGGGAGUUCGUUUUGUACACUGAUCACCAAGCUAUGAAAUUUAUUAAUAGCCAGAAGCACUUGGAUAACAUGCAUGUCAGAUGGGCAACUUUCCUUCAGAAGUUCCCUUUUGCUAUCCGACACAAGUCUGGUGCUUUGAAUCGGGUUGCCGAUGCGUUGAGCCGUUGUGCCAAUCUACUGGUGACGUUGGCUCAUGAGAUAGUGGCGUUUGAGUGCCUAAAAGAGUUGUAUCAGGAGGAUGAGGACUUCAAAGAAAUCUGGGCGAAGUGCAGUGAGAACCACCCCAUCAGCGAUUUUCAUGAGAGCGAAGGUUUUCUAUUUCGCGGAAAUCGUCUGUGUAUACCCCGGAUGUCGCUGCGAGAGAAAUUGAUCUAUGACCUUCAUGGGGGUGGAUUGAGUGGGCACUUAGGUCGGGACAAAACAGUAGCUAGCUUAGAGGAACAAUAUUUCUAGCCGCAACUGAAGAGAGACGUCGACAAUUUUGUAAAGAGGUGCUAUAUAUGUCAGGUAUCUAAAGGUCAGUCGCAGAAUACUGGUCUCUAUACACCUUUACCUAUUCCUGACAAUAUUUGGGAGGAUUUAUCUAUGGAUUUUGUGCUGGGGUUGCCUCGCACCCAGCGAGGGGUGGAUUCUAUUUUUGUGGUGGUUGACAGGUUUUCAAAGAUGGCUCACUUCAUCCGUUGCCGAAAGACCUCAGAUGCUUCACAUAUAGCCCGAUUGUUUUUCAGGGAAGUGGUUCGACUUCAUGGAGUGCCGCAGUCUAUUACUUCUGAUCGCGACACAAAAUUCCUUAGCCACUGUUAGGUAACUUUAUGGAAGAUGUUUCAGACUUCGCUGAACCGAAGCACAACCGCGCACCCGCAAACUGAUGGGCAGACAAAGGUUACAAACCGAACUUUGGGAAAUCUGGUUCAUAGCAUUUGUGGGGAUAAACCAAAACAUUGGGAUCAUGCGUUGCCACAGGCUGAGUUUGCUUACAAUAGUGUAUUGUUCAUAGCGCAACGGGGAAGACUCCUUUUGCUAUGAUAUAUGUGACACCACGAGACACACAGUCGACUUAGUUCGUCUCCCAAGGGAGGUCCAGGAUUUAGUAUGGCCGCUGAGAACAUGGCGACACAAGGCCAGACCGUGCAGGAGGAAGUGAGGCAGAGGUUGGAAGCAACAAAUGCAAAGUACAAGGCUGCGGCAGAUAAGCACCGACGUCGCAAGGUGUUUGAAGAGGGAGAUUCCGUGAUGGUUUUCUUGCGCAAAGAAAGGUUUCCCGUGGGCACUUAAAAUAAGCUGAAGCCCAAGAAAUAUGGUCCGUAUCAGGUUUUGAAGAAGAUCAACGAUAAUGCCUAUGUGAUUGAUCUUCCCGAAACCAUGGGCAUUUCCAAGACUUUCAACGUUGCAGAUUUGUUUCAAUAUUAUGCAGAGGAACACUUGUAUCCUGAUCUCGAUCCGGAACCUAACUCGAGGUUGAGUUCUUUUCAAGUGGAGGAGUUUGGUGUAGAACAAGUAGCGGAAGCAUACAUGCUCAAGAGGGAUCACCCGAAAUUCAAAGGCAACUGAAUUUCGGCAGCCGGGGCGUCGAAAGUCGGAAUGCCGCGAAACUCACCGGGUCAAUGCGUUUCACUGUUUGGAGAAGAAGUCAGCGACUAUGCCCCUGAUGUCUACCCAUUUUUGGCCAAAUUCCAUUGUUUCGACCCCGAAAUCGUCAUUUUUGCCAUUUUAGGAAAGUUUUGUUUUAGCCAUAACUUUUGAUUUCCAAGUCCGAAUUGACUUUCGUCAAUUCCUGCUUGCUCAGGAUUUAUAGGCCUUUCAUAUUCUGCAUUUAUCUCAAAUUUGCCAUUUAUGGUAAAUUUAAUGUUUUAUGUCGUUUCCUUAUCCGUCAUGAGUUUAGGUUAGGGUUUUGCUUUAAAUACCAUUGUAAAGCCUCUAGCCGAACUACUUAAUUAUUAUUGAAUAAAAACCUUUGAGUUUUCUGAGAGUUUCUCUCGUUUUAGACAAUUUUACAGAAUAUUGACGUUGGUCGUAUUCCUUCACUGGUUACCGAAGUGGAGCGAUUCUUUGAGAUGAUGGAGAUACCAGAAGAAAAGAUGGUGAGGUUUGUAGCCUUCCGAUUGAAGGGAGGGGCUGCAGUAUGGUGGGAUCAAUUAGAGAAGAAUCGGCAGCGACAAGGAAAGGCGCUUGUAAGGACUUGGCGUAGGAUGAAGCAAUUGAUGAUAGGGAGGUUCCUGCCACCAGAUUAUGAACAAUAUCUGUUUCAAGUACUUUAAGACUGCUCACAAGGAUCCAGAUCUGUGUUUGACUAUACUGCGGAGUUCUCUAGGCUCUUGGAGCGAAACAAUCUUAACGAGACAGAGGGGCAGCGCGUAGCCAGGUACAUGAAUGGAUUGAAAUUGUCAUUGCGAGAUAAGAUUGGAUUACAGGUGGUUUGGACUGUGGAGGAAGCUCAUAAUCUAGCAUUGAAGGCUGAACUGAUGGAGCAAAGAGGAGGAGUCUCAGGGUUUCGCCGAAACAAUCCAGAGUCUUUGUUAAUACCAGAGACAAGGGUGGCAACAACAGCCAAGCAAGCGUGUUGAGUCAGAACAAAGAAGGAGGCAGCAGCAGCAGCAGCCAAGCAACCCAAGGCAACAAGAAUAUACCCAGAAAUCCAAACCAGAACACGAACACGAACUUGAAUUCGAGCCUUCAGGGCCAAUAUAGAAAGGAAGGACUCAUCGAGCCUGUGCUUGAUAAAAUGUUACCUUUAGUCAUUUGUUGAAAAAAAAAUGUGGUUGUAAUUUUUUUUAAAGUAUUUUUAAUUUUAAAAUAUAUUAAAUAAUAUUUUUUUUUAUUUGUUUUAAAAUUAUUUUUGAUAUCCAUACAUCUAAUAAUCUAAAGAUAUUAAAAAAACAUUUUAAUUUGAAUAAAAAAAUAAAAAUAUUUUUAAAAUGUAAAAAUAAUUAGAAAAAUGGAGCAUGAAUUUAAGUCAAUAGUCAGAAAUUAAGAAAUGCAGACAUUACUUAGCGGUCCAAAGAAGAACAAAGAUUGACUAGUCCAUAAAUUCAAAAGUCUUUGUCUCUAUCAUAAGAAAUCAAUACGCUACUCUAUUUUCUUUGGGCUUCACUCCAUUACUGUUCCUAUAGAUUUAAGGGCGUUGUAGUAAAAACAUCUCUUGCUAGGAAAUAAUUCUUUAAAAAUUAAAUAAUUUUUUAAUGUUUGAUAAUAUUAUGAAAAAUAAAUUGAAAAAUAUUUUUUUAGUAUUUAGUUAUGCCAUAAAAAAUGAGUUGAAAAACAUUUUUUUAGAUUUUUUCAAGUUUAUUAAAAGAAUGAAAACCAAAUCUAUCAGAUAAAAAAGUUUAGAGAAAAUAAAAUUAAAAAACAAAUUUUAAUUUUAUAAAUUAUUUCAAAUAAAAUAAAUAGUAAUAAAAAGAAUAUAAACCAAAUUUGACAAAUAAAAAAAGUUGAAAGAUGAUGAAAUAAAAAAAAUAAUUUCAUAAAUUAUUUUAAAUAAAAUAAAUAGCAAUCAAAAUAAUGGGGAUCAAAUUUAAUAUUAUUUAAAAAUAAUAAGAUAAAAAUAAAUAAUAAUAAAAAAAUGAUAAGAGGAAAAUAAAUAAUAAUAAAAAGAAUUGGGAUCAAAAUUAUAAAAAUAAAAUAAAAUUAAUUUUAAAGGGAUAAAAUUAAAAGAAUCAAAACAAAAUAUAUAGCGAUCAAAUUAUUAAUGACCAAAUUUUUAAAAAAAUAUUGAGAAACAAAUUAUUCAUAAAUUUUCUUUAACUGAAAAAUAUUUUUAAUUGAAUGACUUUUUUAAUAAUAAAUAAAUAUGAAAAAUAUUAUUUAAAAAAAUUAAUUUUCAUAAAUGGAAACAAGACUAAUUCCAUGAUUCCUUGCCAUUUUCCACAAGUCUCUGAGAGUAACAGACCAGUUUUGUUUUGUUGACAACAUUAUGUAAUGAGCUGUUCAGUAGAAAAGUCUCAGCUCAUGAGCUUCUUCUAUAUGUAUCCUGCUAUUUUUAAUUUUUGAUAGUAUUAUAAAAAAUAAUUAAAAAAUAUUUUUCGGUGUUUAAUUAUAUCAUAUUAAAAACUAAUUUUUUAAUUUUUUUAAAAAAAUUAAAAUUAAAAGAAAAAGAACAGAAACUCUUGAAAAUUAAGAAAAAAAAUAAUCAUUCUUAUGAGUCAACAAAGAAAGGCUUUCCAUGAUUCCUUGCCUUUGAGGGUAUCAUACACCAGCCUAUGUUAUGUUGACAACAUUAUGUAAUGAGCUGUCCAGGAGAAAAGUCUCAGCUCAUGAGCUUCUAUAUGUAUUCUGCAUUAGCUCUUCAAAGUUCAAACUGAGUCCAAACUCCUCUAAAAUUGGCUUUUCCUUGUUUUAGGACUACCCUCAACCUCUUGCUGUUUCUUGUUCUGACACCUUCUGUGUUUGCCCAAACUCCUCCUAAUGUUACUUUGGGUUCAUACCUUUGGGUAAUUAAUUACCUUCGCACAACACCAUGCACGCAUGAAACUAGUUCAUGCGUGCUGUGGCCCAGCCCCAAUAAUAAUAAAAAAUAAAUAAAAAAAUAAAAAAAAUUAGAAAAUAGAAAAAUAUAUGUAUGCAUGAAUAAAAAUAAUAUAAAUUUACUGGUUUAUUCACCAACACCAGGAAUAAAAUACUGGCUUAAAUUUAUAUUAUUUUUAUUCGUUAUAUUUUAUUUUAUUUAGCAAGAAAAAAUAAUAAUAAAAAAAAAUAUAUGUGCAUGUAUGAAAAAUAAAAUUUAUUUUAUUGGUUUAUUCACUUACGCCAGAGUCAGGAAUAAAAACACUGAUUUAAUUAUAUUUAUGUUUUUUUAUUUAACUACAUAAGAAAUAAAAAAAAUAUGUGAAUGCGUAAUAAGAUGAAUUUAGUUUAUUUGUUUAUUCACUAGCGUUAAAGUCAGGAAUAAAAAAAUAUUGAUGUAAAUUUAUUUUAUAGCUACAUAAUAGUUACCAACGUGAUUAGUACUUAAAAGUGCAUGUUUAUCAAGGGUUUAUAUCAUCAUUUUGCACUUAAAGUAUCAAUAACUCCUUAACUAAAGCAUGUUUUAUAAUAACAAGUCUAAUAUUAUAAAUUACCCUAAUAUAUGGUAAAUGUUCAUCUUAAAUGCAGGCAUAUCACAUAAAUCAAAGGAUUGAUUGAUGAAUUCAACUACUGAAAUUUUGAAGAUAAAGAAAGAAGGGUGAAGCUUAGAAAAGAGAUGUUGGUGCAGUCCAAACUGGAACACUGUUCGGUAAUUGGGUCAUAUCUCGAGUUUUAGAUAUCCAAAUGAUCUGAAAUUUUUACAGAGAUUUGAUAAGACAUAGGCCUACAACUUUCAUUUGGACAUCAAGAUCUAAGAAGGCCGUUUUCAAGUCCAAAUAAUAGCAACAACGGAGAAGUCCGAAGCUGUCCUGCAGCCCAAACACUAUUCAGUGUUCAGCCCAUAUCUUGAGUUCUAGAAGUCCAAAUGACCUCAUCUUUUUUUUGCUGGAAAGCUAAGAGAAUUUCGCAGAACUUUUAUUUGGAUAUCUGGACCCAGUUCUGAUGCUAGCAUUUUUGUUUUAUUUAGACAAGAUGAUAAGGAUUUUCACUAAGUCAAAAGUUGGCCACCCACUCAACAAUGAGUCAUCAAAGCAAUAAUUCCGAAUUUUGGCCUAUAAAAGGAGGCAUUUGCCAUGUAUUUAGGGGCUUGGUUGUUCAGAUCAAGUUCAUGCUCUUUAUUUCUCUCUUUAUAUUUUUUGUAAUUCUUAAGCUUUGCUUUUAUUAAUUUCUUGUUUAUGCUUUUCAUUUCCUUUCCUUUCCUUAGUUAACUUGUAUUUUAUUUAUGUUCUUUUUUUAUUUAUUUAUGUUUUUCUUCUUCAUUAUGUUUAGCUAAGUUUAUUAUGUCAAGGUGAAAAGGUUACACUAAUGGUGUAAGAACAAGUAUGGUGUAAACUCAAUAUGGACCUUAAUGUUUAAUAUUAACAUGUCUUAUCUUUUUAUCUUACUAAUUCUUAAUACCUUGCUUGUUAAAUGGUUAAUCUAAAUUUGUGUUGUAUAAUACUUGGUACAACAAAUGCUUGGCACUCUCAUAACCCAACCGUAUGGUAUUACCUACACCUGGGGCUAUGAAAGGUACUUGAUUUGUUGUUAACAUCAUGAAUUCCUGACAAUAUUUAAAAGUUUGGUGUUAUGUACAUAAGAUAAUUAAUAUGAUCAUGUUAAUAAUUUAUAAUGAGCUAUUAAUGACAAAUCAUCCGACUGGAACCUCCUUCGUGUGUGGUUUCCAAAUUGAGUAAUAAGAGUUUAAUACUAUACUUGUUGGAAAUACCAUUGGUGGAUCCUCUAACCUUGACAUUUGUCUUUAUUAUUGUUUAAUCCUUACAUUAAUCUUCCAUCUCAAAGUUCUCAUUAAUUUCUUCCUGCUUUUCUUAUUAUUGUUAUUAUUGUUGUUGUUAUUGUUAUUAUUGUUGUUAUUAUUAUUAUUAUUGUUGUUGUUAUUAUUGUCUCUUCCUCCUCCUCGUCUUUUUAUUGUUAUUAUUAUUAUUAUUAUUAUUAUUAUUAUUAUUAUUAUUAUUAUUAGUAGUAUUAUUAUUAUUAUUUACAUUCUUGUUAUAUUUUAUGUACGUUAAGUAUGCUCUGUGUUUGAUCAAGGAUCCUGAUAUUGUUGAUCUUGCCUUGUUCAUUCGCAUCAGAAAUCUGUUUAUAUUAUAUAAUAUAUCUCAUUGAUCUUUUCAUAAACUCAGUAUAUAGGCUGGAAACCUGUGACCCGAUCUUUUAGAUCAUUCUCAGGUAUAACAACGCCACGUAUUGAGUAUUAUUAUUAGUAUUAGUAUUAUUAUUAUUAGUAUUAUUAUUAUUAUUAUUAUUAUUAUUAUUACUAGUACUACUAUUACUAUUACUAUUUACUAUUAUUAUUAUUAUUAUUAUUAUUAUUAUUAUUAUUAUUAUUCUUGUUGUUGUUGUUAUUUUUGUUAUUAUUAUUAUUGUUGUUGUCUUGUUAUUUAUAAUUUAUACAAUUAACCUCUCUGUGGUUCGACCCCGAUCUUGCCGGGUUAUUUAUUACUUCGACACUCCUACACUUGGGAGAAGACAUCAAUCUUUUGGUCGUGUCACAACGCCAGAGUUGGAAUUAUCCGUAGUUAAAUAUUCACUGGCGCCAGAGUCAGGAAUAUUGCGAAUAAACCAUCAGAGCAUAAACCAAUAAAAAUUUAGUAAUUUAAGAUAAAACAAGCAAUGCAGUUUGCCUUAGGCAGAACGUUUAAGGGGUGAUAAUAUCUUUCCUUUUACGUAACCAGUCCCGAACCAUAGAAUCUCUGUUGACCAGUUAGGGUUCCUAGUGACCAUAAUACUAGGUGGCGACUCCUUAAUCAAGAUAUUUUUUUUUAAAGAACAAGAUGCCGGAAAUCUAUCAUUUUUUCAUAAUCGAGAAUUAUUUUUAGAGCCACUGCGAUGUUGGGUGCGACAAAUGGUAUGAGUGAAAGAAAAAAAGGAGCAUUAUGGAAAUGACUAGAUUCAUGUUAAAUGAAAAAGAGUUGUCGAAAAAACCAUGGGCUGAAGCUGCAAACACAUUGGUGUAUUUGCUGAACAGAAUGCCAACUAGUGCGUUGCAGAAAAGAACUUCAUUUGAAGCUUGGUUUGGAUACAAACCAGACUUCUAACAUUUAAAAAAAUUUGGUCGCCCUUGUUUCACAUAUGUGCCACAAGUUAAAAGAGACAAAUUGGAUAAGGAGGAUGAAUCAUGAGUGUUCAUUGGAUACAACAAUCCAUCAAAAGCUUAAAGAAUCUUCCAACCUCAAAAUAGAAAAAUUCUAGUAAGCAAAGAUGUUAACUUCAUGGAAGAUAAAUAAUGGAAAUUGGAGGAACCAAAAGAGAAGCAAGAAUCCUCAAAAGAGAAGCAAGAAUCUUCAACUUGGGAGAUUAUUAAUGACCUGUAUUGAUGAUGAGCCGGUCAAAGGUACAAGAUCCUUAUAUUAGAUUUAUGAAAGUAGCAACAUUGCUAUUUAUGAGCCUGUAGAAUUUAAAAAGGUAGUGAAGAACAACGAAUGGAUUAAAACAAUGAAAAAGGAACUUAGAAUGAUUGAAAAGAAUGAUACCUAGGUGCUGAUGGAAAAACCCUUACAUAAAAAGGCCAUAGGAAUCAAAAGGGUUUAUAGAGCCAAACAAAAUACAGAUGGUUAUAUAAACAAAUACAAAGCUAGAUUAGUUGUGAAGGGCUAUACUCAAGUGUUUGGAGUGGAUUUCUUAAAAAAUUUUGUGCCGGUAGCAAGACUUGAUACAAUUAGAUUGCUACUUGCAUUGUCUGCAUAAAAGGAUUGGAAAUUGUAUCAGUUAUAUGUAAAAUAUGCUUUCUUAGGAUAUUAGCAGGAGGAGAUUUUCAUAGAAAAACCACAAGGUUUUGAAGUCAAGGGGAAAGAAGAGAAGGUCUAUCUGUUAAAGAAGGCAUUAUAUGGCUCUAAACAGGCUCCUAGAGCAUGGGUAUAACAGAAUUUAUGAGCAUCUACAUAAACUUGGCUUUGUCAAAAGUCCAAGUGAGGCCACAUUGUAUGUAAAAGGAAAUAAUGAAAACUGUAACAGGAAGUGAUAAGACACUAAUAGAAGAGUUCAUGGCUAAAAUGUUCAAUAUAUUUGAGAUGACAGACCUUGGUUUGAUGUCUUACUUCCUUAAAAUGGAGGUGAAACAAAGCAAUGAUGGAAUCUUCAUAUAUCAGAAAAAGUAUGCUAAGAAGAUCUUGAAAAAGUUUCACAUAGAGAACUACAAAAGCACAAGCACUCCUAUGAAUAUAAAGGAAAAAUUCAGUAAGAAUGAUGGAAUAAACAAAGUAAAUGAAGGUCAAUACAGAAGCUUAAUUGGGUGUUUGAUGUAUCUUACAUCAACAAGACUUGAUUUUGCAUUUGCUGUAAGUUUGCUCUCACGGUUCAUGCAUUGUGCAAGUGAAUUACAUUUUCAAGGUGCCAAAAAGAUUAUGAGAUAUAUCAAGGGUAUAUAAAAUUCUCUCAUUUUCAAAUUUUUUUGCUUUAUGGCUAUUCUGAAAAUAACUAGGCAGGACCUUUGGAUGAUACGAAAAGCACUUCGAGCUAUUAUUUUAUCUUCAUAUUAGGCAUGUUCUCUUGGUUUUAAAGGAAGCUAGAUGUGGUUUCUCAAAGCACAGCUGAGGUUGAAUAUAUAGUAGCUACUAUUGUUGUAAAUUAAGCAAUUUGGAUAAGAAAAAGACUUGCAGAUUUGCACAUGGGUCAACUUGAGCCAACACAAAUUUAUGUUGACAAUCAAGCUGUAAUUUUUAUUGCAAAUAAUCCUAUUUUUUAUGGCAGGACUAAGCACUUUAAAAUCAAGUUAAAUUUUUUAAGAGAAGUUUAGGAAGAAGAAGUUACUUUGCUUUAUUGUAGAACCAAUGACCAAAUUGCAGACGUUUUGACUAAAACUCUUUCAAAAGCAAGUUUUGAAGAGCUAAGAAGUAAACUAAGUGUCUGUAGUAGUUAAGACAAGGAGGAGUGUUAAAAGAAUGCCUUAAAAGUUGUAAAAGAUCAGGAGAUUUUGUUGUUGAAGGUCUCUACUUGAAGACCAAGUCUUUAAAAAUAAAUCUAAUUAUCUUUGAUUUGUUUAUCAUGUAAUUUUCAAAAUUAAUAAUCUUUGCUUCUAACUAAAACUCCAUCUCUAUUUAAGAGUGUUAUGCAAUCAAUAAAAUCAUUUUCCUUAUUUUCGUUCAUUCUGCUAUUAUUUAUGUUCAUGUUCUGCAUUUAGUUUAAAACAAUUAACACAUGUAAAUAUCCUGAUCCAACUCAAAAUUCUGAAAGUUUCACCUCCUUAUUUCAGAAAGUGUAAAGCAACUACACAACACCAAAUAAAUCUUUCAAGAAUAAAUAAGAAGAUGGUUAUAGAUUCUAUCUCCAGAAACCAAGGAAUGAAUAGCUUCCUCAAAUCUCCAUAUUCUUUGUUGCACGUGUGUGGCGUCGCGAUGAUCGUCCACUCUCACAGGUAUCCAUAUCUGAAAAAUAUAGAGAAACAAGGAAUUUUUGUCUUUUAUCAGUGGAAAAUUUGAAUGAGAGUCUCCAUAUAGUAUUUUGAUCACUAGGAACCCUAACUGAUCUCAGAGAUCGGGCACAAGGAUUGGUUGCGUAAAGAAAUGAUAUUAACACCUCAAAUACCAUUGUGGCUGGUUGGAGGAAUGUGCAUAAUAAAUCACAUGUGCCUGAGGAUGGUACUUCCAAGGACUUUGAAUUAACUUUCUCUCAGAAAGAUAUGGAUCAUGGCAUGGAGAGGCCAAAAGCAUCAAAACCAGCUGCUACUCAUUUAUUUCAAGAUGAGGCUUUUAGUACUUUUGUUGCUGAAUUUGAUAGCAAUAAGCUCAACCCAAGAGUUAGUAAUAACAAAGAAGGAAAGGAAGAAGCACUAGAGGCUGAAAUAGAGAGGCUUAAAGAGCAGCUGAAGCAGGUAAACUCUGAGAAGGCCGAAAUAACUUUGAAAUUUGAAAAGCUAUCUGCCAUUUGUCGAUCUCAGAGACAGGAGAUACAGGAGCUCAAGCAAACACUAGCUGCAAGAACUCCUUCGCCGAAUAAAUUAUUAUUUAUUCUGUUUUUUUUUUAGCAAAACAAUUAGUUACUUUUCUUUCCAAAAUAUUCCUCUCUAUAUAUAAAUUGAAAGAAACCUAAACGGCUAUUUUCUAGAAAACUAGCUUUUAUCGAGCUAACAGUCAUAAACAGUCAAAGGUUAUGAAACUAGACGGAUUAAUUAUUAUUUCGGUGACAAACCUGCGGAUUAUAUCAUUAUUUGCUCUUAGUUUGCUUAGAUACAAUAAUGGCUGUUUUAGAAAGGAAGGGGGUAUAAAGGCAGAAUGCUUAUACUUGAUAAAAUGCUGCAGUCGUCUGAAAACCUUCGUCUCCCAUUCCCAUAUAUAUAUAGUUGCAUAAUUCUAAAGGAGGGGUUUGGAUUUGGAAAGAAACCAUGAACUCCUGAAGAUUAAAACAAUCAUUUUUAAAAGGUCAAUAAAGAAGGUUUAAUUCUAACAAUCUUAGUUUUGUACAUUCUGUAUGAUACCAUUUGACAGAGACGCUUUGAUCGAACUGUCAGGAGAUAAAAGUAUUGCUGCCAUGAACUCUCUGAUUCCACUGCUUCCAAAUGCCUUAUAUAGUUGCAAUCCUAGCCAGCACAGAUUCAAAUGAUCUCUUCUUCAAGUGUGCUGCAGCCCGAAUACAGAUGAUUCUCGUAUAUGGUUUUCAACAAUGUUGGAUAACUACUUAAUGGCAAUUGCAUGCGUUUGCUGUCUGGAUUCAUGAUCGGCAACGCAUAAAUGGUAUUGUAAGGACAUUCCUCAUUUACACUAAAUCUUUAAACAAACAUAUCAAAAUACAUAUUAUUUUAUAAUUUCUCAAAAUAUUAUAUUAUUCAGAGCUAAUAUAACUAAAUAAUAAUUCAAAAAUUCUCAUCAGUAAUUAAAACAAAAACAAUAACCCAUAAUACUCAUUACAUUGUUCAUAUCCAAACUUUAUUAAAACAUGGUAAUAAUGAAGCGUCUAAGACAUUGAAUUAAAAAAAAAAAAGCUUCGUGAAAUAAAUAAGGCAUACCAACCAAAAUUAAAAGAGUAAGAAUACUUGACAAGUACAUCUAUUAACAGAAACUAAAAACCUAAUAUAAUAUUAAGAAAUUAUAGGUGAGUUCAACCAAUUCAGUGAAGAAAUAAAUUUAAUAUAUAUUUUAGAUAUUAAUAGUUUGCAAGUAGAUUUAUCUUGAUAUACAUAUACAUGCUAAGAAAAUUAUCAUAAAGAAGUAGAAUACAUAUUAAAGAUUGGAUGACACCUGAAGGUGUUCACUGUGGGAGGAUCAGUUGCUAUAGACUAAUGCCUCCCUCAUUAGCUAAGUAUACAAAUGCUAUGUGAGGCACCAAAUGUAAUUUUUCAAAAUUCAAGGACUAAACUGUAAAUCUAUAAAAUUAAGGGUCUAAAUUAAAAAUUAUAUAAAUCAAUUAUCAAAUUGAGAUUCAUCAUCCUUAACAUUGUAAGAAUAUUUCCCAGAAUUCCAAAAUAUGUUUCAGGGUCAAAUAUAAUUUUCUAAAGUUUAGGGACUAAAUUAUAAUUUUUAUAAAUCAAGGAUUAAAAUAAAAUUUUAUCAUUUUCAACCUCAAGACUAUUAUGUCUAGAUUUUCCAUCAAAUCUGAAACAAAUUUCUUAACCAGUAACAAAUCAAUUUACAAAUUUUUAUUUUUAAUAACACAUUUAAAAUCAAUCACUUAACUUUAAACUUAUAAUAAUCAUGAAUCAAUCUUAACAACACAAACUUCAAAUCUUUAUAAACCAUAAUCUCUUCUUUAAUCAUUUCACAAAGAAACUAUAAUCAAAAGUAACAUAGGUAGAACCACUUACUUAUUAUUUCUAUCUUUUUUAAAUUAAUAAAACUCAAGAUUAAAAACUAAAUUUUUUUGGUUUAAUGAUGGAAAGGUCAUAGCAAUUACAAAAAUUAGAUAAGAAAAAAAACAAUUUUUUUACAACAUUUUUCUAUAUUUCCUAGUUAACUCAGGUUAGAUUUGGACUAAACAUUUGGUUUCAUAUUUGUGUUGACUAUUAUCUUAGUAAUAAAAUGAAUUUAGUUUUUGAAUGAAUUUUAAUAAUUUUAAAAUAAGAGGUAAAAUAAAAUAAUAGUGAAAUGUAACUAGUGAGAUAUCGUUUGUGCUUUUUCUUAGGACUUAUUAGGGCCUUUCCUCGUUUUUUCGUAAUUAAUUAAGUAGUAUUGCCGGCAAUUCAUUGGUUAGGAGCGAAGAGGUCUGGAACAAAGAGUAUAGAUUUAUAGAUUCAAGGGCCAAUAUAGAAAAGGAAGGAAUCAUGGAGCCUGUGCUUGAUAAAAUGCUUCCUCUAGUCAUCUGAAAAACCUUCUUCUCCCUCUCAAGCUUAGAAAAUAUAUGAAAAUAUAAUUAUGAUUAUUUUUUAAACUUAUUUUUAAUAUUAACAUUUCAAAAUGAUAUAAAAAUAUAAAAAAAUAUUAAUUUAAAAUAAUUUUUUUUUUUUUUAAAAAAACACGUUGUUCAAAGAAUUAGAAAAAUGGAACAUGCAUUUAAAAGUCAUCAGUCAGAAAUUAAGUCUUGACUAUUGUUCUUGAUGAAAAAUCCAGACAUUAGUUGCUGUCCAAAGAAGAAAAAAGAUUGACUAGUCCAUGAAUUGAACAGUCUUUGUCUCUAUCAUAAGAAAUCAAUACGCAACUACUCUUGCUACUCUAUUUUCUCUGGCCUUUACUCCAUUACUGUUCCUAAGGAUUUUAGGGUGUUGUCGUAAAAACAUCCCUUGCUGGAAAGUUAAUUUUUUUAGAAAGUAAUUUUUAUAGAAAAUAAUUUUUUUAAAAAUAAAUUAGUUUUUAAUGUUAGACAGUAUUAUGAAAAAUAAAUUUAAAAAUCUUUUUUAAUAUAAUUAUGCCAUGAAAAAUAAAUUAAAAAAUAACUUUUUAAUUUUUUUUAAAACAAUUAAAAAAAAAGAAAAUGAAAAGGAACAGAAACACUUGAAAAUUAAGAAAGAAAACAAAAUCAUUCUUAUGAGUCAACAAAGAAAGGCUUUCCAUGAUUCCUUGCCUUUCUCCAGAAGUCUCUUGAGAGUAACAGACACCAGCCUAUGUUAUGUUGACAACAUUAUGCAUGAGCUGUCCAGGAGAAAAGUCUGAUCAGCAUCUAUAUGUAUUCUGCAUUAGCUCUUCAAACUGAUACAUUGCUAAGUCCGAACUCCUCUGAAAAUGGCUUUUCCUUGUUUUAGGACUACCCUCAACCUCUUGCUGUUUCUUGUUCUGACACCUUCUGUGUUUGCCCAAACUCCUCCUAAUGUUACUUUGGGUUCAUACCUUAUUGCUUCUGAUACAUCAGUUCCAUGGAAGUCCCCUUCUGGUGAAUUUGCUUUUGGAUUCCACCAAAUCAACAAUCAAAAACUUUUCUUGCUUGGCAUCUGGUUCGAUACAAUACCGGAGAAAACAUUAGUUUGGUAUGCAAACGGAGAUGAUAUGUCACCUGAAGGGUCGAAGGUCGAGCUUACUCUUGAUGGUAGUUUCAGACUUACCAGUCCUCAAGGACGAGAAAUAUGACGAGCUGGUGAAGGCUGAUGAGGAGGUAAAAAAUGACAUGACGACGUUGGAGAGGUUAGUGAUGGUGUCAAUUUGGUGCAUACAAGAGGAUCCUUCUCUUAGACCUUCUAUGAGGACAGUCACACAAAUGCUUGAAGGAAUUGUUCAAGUUUCUGUACCCCCAUGUCCUUCCCCUUUCAGUUCAAUCUGCUAAGAAAAACCAGUUCCAAAUUAUUCUCUCCUCACUUUCUCAUCAUUAAAUUUGCUUCGCAAGUCAUGUUGUUGAAAGAAUGCCUUAAAAGCUGCAGAAAACCAGGAGACUUCGUUGCUGUAGAAGAUCAGGAGAUUUUACUGUUGAAGGUCUUUUCUUGAAGGCCAAGUUUUUAGCAAUAAAUAUGAUUGCAUUUGAAUGAUGUUUGUUUUGAACUAAAACUCUAUCUCUAUUUAAGAGUGUUAUGCAAUUAAUAAAAUCAUCUUUCUUAUAUGUUCAUGUUCUGCACUUAGUGUAAAACAAUUAAUAAAUUGGUAUCAGAGUCAUAAUUAUCUUAAAAAACUUGUGAGUUGAGAGAACCAAAACACAAACCAAACCAUAAAUACAAAAUAAAAAAACACAAAAAUAGAAACUGAAACAAUCAUCUCACACGGUUCACCACCAAUCUUCAAUGGUGAUAACUAUAAAGCUUGGGCCAUCAAAAUGUCAAUUUCUUAAAAACUAUGUUGUUCCUGAUUUACCUACAAAUCCACCAAUAGCUCAACUAAAGAUUCAUAAGGAAAAAAAAGACAAGGAAGUCCAAAGCUAAAGUUUGCUUAUGUGUUGCAAUAUCAAACAUAAUAUUCACAAGAAUCAUGAAUUAUGAAUAGAAUCAUGAAUUAGGAAUUUGUAGAAAAUAUUUGGGACUAUCUUUAAAAAGAAUAUCAGUGCAAUGAAAGAACUAAAAAUAUGCAGACUCUCAACUUAAUCAAAGAAUUUGAAAUGUAGAAGAUCAAGGAGACAUAAAACAUGAAAGAUUAUGCUGACAAUUUACUAAGCAUAAUAAACAACGUAAGAUUGCUUGGACUUUGAUAACAAUUGUUAUUUUAGAAUUAAGGCAAUAAUAACAGCUAAGGGGGUAAAUUAGAUGUUUUACUAAUAAUAACAAUUAUUGCAAUUAACUCAAUUAAACACAAUUAACACAACUAACCAACAAUAUGAUUAAGGUGUUUAAAGUAAAGAGUAUAGAGAUAGAAAUUGCAAACUCGAUUUUUAACGUGGUUUGACAAAUCUAUAUCCACACCUUAAGAACCAAACCGAUAUUUAAUAUUUUAUAUUUUACUAAUCCAAGCCAAAAAUUACAAUGUCCUUAAUGAAUCCUCACCAAACUCCUUUUCACCACUUGAAGAAACACCCUCUUCAAGAAUCUUCACCUUGGUAAUAUACCUCACCAAUGACCAAUAAAUUUUCACUUAAACUCUUUAAGGGUUACAAUUGUUUGAAAUGUAACAACACUCCCUCAAAGAGUAAAUAAUACAAGUGAAGCUUAUAUCUUUAUAACUCACUCAAUAAUACUAAGAAUGUAUGAAGGUGUUUAAGUGUAGUAAGUGUGUGAAUUUAUAUUGUUGUGGAAUAAUAUAAAGGUUUUAAUGCACAAAUAUGAGUAUGAUUUAUGAUUUAAAGUUUUAUUUGCUCUUAAAAUAGCUUUUAUAUAAUAUAUAUUCAAAUUUUGUGCUUAAUUUUUCAAUUAGACAAACUAUAUAUAUAUGUUUUUAGGAAGAAAAAAAAAGUUGUUUUAUAGCCAUCACUAUUCCUCUAACAGCUAAAAUGAUCGAUCAGUUCAGAUUGGUCAAUUCAAUCGGUUGAUCUAUUUCAACAGAUUCCUAGGUGUUCGACCCUGAUGAAUAAGUUGUUGAUUGGUUCAACUUAAUAUCUAAUUUUAACAAUCUUAAGCCUGAUGAAUCUUAAACUAACUAAAUGCAUAUCAAUCCUAUAAUGCAUACAAUAUGAAGUAUGUAAAUUCAUUUUAAUUUGUGCUAUCAAAUAAGAUAUAAAGAUUUACAUAGUAAACACAAAAUAAAUGCUUAAGAAUUAAGUCUUCACUUGUUUUGUAUCUUGAACUUGUUGAUUUAUUUCUUCAUUUAAUUAUUUAUGCUUGUUGAUGAUCUUCUUGUAAAUCUGUUUACACUUAAACUCAAUCAAACAUAUUAUUAGUCUAUUUUUAUUUAAUUAUUAUCAUCAAAAUAUAUAAAUAUUAAUAUAUGACCUAAAAGUCAACAUCUUUUGCCAUUUUUGCUGUUGAUCUUAGGCAUAAAAAGGAGAGGGGUUAUUUUUUUUUCUAUAUAUAUAUAUAUAAAAUUUCCCCUCUCUCUUUUUUUAAUAGUUUAAUCCAGCUAAAAUUCUAAUCGUGGGUAGUUUUACUUAUUGUUUAUCAUUAUCUUUGAGCUAUAAUUUCUCACUUUGUAUAUAGACAAAUUCUACAUUCCACAUUCUAAGUAAUUUUUUUUUAAACCCCUUAUCUUUCAACUUAAAAUUUUAUUUUAUUGUUAUAAAUUUUCAGGUUAGGGUUUAUAAUUUUAAUAAAAAUAAUUGACUCAGAUACCCACGAGUUGACCCUAUAACCUAAUAAUAGACAAUUGACACUUUAUUAGCUCUAAAUAAUGUUAUAUAAUCAAUUUCAACGAAUAAAAUAUAAAAAAUAGCUAAAAUGUAAUCUUCAAUGAUAAUUAAUUAUUAAAAUAAAAAAUAAAGUAUGUUACAUGUCUCUUACUUUUCUAAGAUAUAACCUUCAAGAAUUACAUUUUAUAAUUAAUUAAAAUAAAAAUAAAAAUAAAAAUAAAAUAAAAUAUUGAACAACUCAAUUUUUCACUUCAAAACAAAUAAUUGUGUUGUACGUUUUAAUUUACCUAAGAAUUAUAUUUUAUAGUCAAAUACUAAAUAAUAUUUUAUAACUUAUUUCUUAUGACAUUAUCAAGUAUUAAAAAAAUAAUCAAUUUUUUUUAUAAAAAUCACUUUCUAAAAAAAAAAUAACUUUCCAAUAAAUUAACAGGGCUAUGUGUAUUUUUUCACACCUUAAGGUAUAUUUUUGGUACCAUCAAGGAGCUUACAAAGGUUUGCCAUCAUUAAAAAAAAAAAAAAAAACACCUCCCUUUUUACCAUAUAUUUCAAAUCUAAUCCUUACACGUCCUCUUUCAAGACUCACUUCACCUUCACUGUCAUUAUUUUUCCUUGGGAUUAAGGAUAACAACAAAAUCCUUUUCGAAGUCUCAACAACAUAUUCAUGUUAAACCAAAUUAAUUCAUGAAACUUGUGAUUUGUAGCUUAACGUAGGAUGAGUUUUAAACUAAGUAAAUUAAAAACAUUGACCCAAUUAAGUCAGUUUUGACCCAAUCAUGUUUCUAAUAUUAUAGUUGACUUUACAAACCCAAUCAUACAACAUCAAAAAUUUUAAAACAAUAAAUUAAUAAUAUUUUAAUAAAAUUAUUUAACUUAUUGACAUGCAAGUUAAUCCUAUAUCCUAAUGACAAAGACUUUUUCUUGAGAUGAAUCCCAACGUAGGUCCAACAACAAUGCAUCUAUCUACUCCUUAAUUAUAUAUAAAAGUCAAAGAUAAUAAUGGUAAAUUAUAGACAAGUGACCCAUUAUCAACUCCAAAUAAUAUCAUAUCAUCAAUUCCAAUAAAUAAAAAAAGCUAAAAUGUAAUAUUAAUUUAAUGAUAAUUAAUUGUUAAAAUAAAGUAUAUUACAUGUCUUUUUCUAAGAUAUAGCCUAUAAAAAUCACAUCUUAGUUUAUUGUAUAUGUAAGUUACACCUUUGCAUUCAUCCACAACAGUUACUGUUUAUUUCUUCUCAUUGGUCCAAAGAUUAGACCGAUGUUGGUGCAAUUUGAUUAGACGGCAGAUUUCAAGGAAAUUAUGACCCAUCAUUUGUCCGAGGGUGAAACACCUUAGCUUUCAUCUAACCUAGCAAGCCACGCCAAGGGUAUCUGACACGUAGCUUGUCAAAUUAUUCCUAAAUGCUGCAUGUAAAUUAAGAUAGGAGAGGUGGCUAUACGCUUACUCGAACUCUCCACCACCGAGUUCUUUGCCGAUUCCUAAGUUUUCAAUGAGGCCACCAGAGCGAGCCAACUGCCAACUCUGCACCAGCUUCCCCCUCAAGAAAGAGCUCAUAUUUUUGUCGUUGAACCACAGGUUGCUUCGGAGUGUGUUUUACCACCGACAAACUUUAUUGAAAGCGAUUAAAAUUUUAAAUAAAAGUAUCAAAUAAAAAAAUAAAAAAUUAAUAGAAUAAAAACUGAAAUAUGCAUGAGCUGUCCAGGAAAAAAGUCUCAGCAUCUAUAUGUAUUCUCUGCAUUAGCUCUGCAUUAAUAGACUCCUCUGAAAAUGGUUUUUCCUUGUUUUAGGACUGCCCUCAACCUCUUGCUGUUUCUUGUUCUGACACCUUCUGUGCUUGCCCAAACUCCUCCUAAUGUUACUUUGGGUUCGUACCUUAUUGCUUCUGAUACAUCAGUUCCAUGGAAGUCCCCUUCUGGUGAAUUUGCUUUUGGAUUCCACCAAAUCAACAAUCAAAAACUUUUCUUGCUUGGCAUCUGGUUCGAUACAAUACCGGAGAAAACAUUAGUUUGGUAUGCAAACGGAGAUGAUAUGGCACCUGAAGGAUCGAAGGUCGAGCUUACUCUUGAUGGUAGUUUCAGACUUACCAGUCCUCAAGGACGAGAAAUAUGGAAGCCUCAAUCUUCAGUAGAUGGAGUUGCUUAUGCUGCCCUACUCAACAACGGCAACUUUAUCCUCGCAGAUAAUAGUUCCAAGUCUUUGUGGGAAACCUUCAAGGAUCCCCGUGAUACCAUGCUGCCAACUCAAAUACUUGAAGUUGGUGGAAAGUUAUCGUCCCGGCUAAAGGAAAGUAGCUACUCUAAGGGAAGGUACCUGCUUCGCUUGCAACCAAAUGAUGGGAGUAUUUUGCUCAACCUACUUGCCUUGCCAACAGGUUAUGAAUAUGGGACUUAUUUUAAGAGCAAUACUUCUGAUGAUGCUUCAACACAGAAUUCUGGCUAUCAGUUAGUCUUUGACGGGUCAGGUCACCUCAAUGUUCUCCAAGACAGCAGAAGUGUUGUUAACCUCACCAAGGGAAGAGAUUCUCCAGCCGGAGAUUACUUUUACAGGGCGACGCUUGAUGUUGAUGGACUUUUUACUCUGUAUGCUCAUCCCAGGGCUCAAACAAAUGGUACAUGGGCACAGACAUGGGUUGCUAUUUGGUCAGUCCCGGACAAUAUAUGUACUGAUAGUAAUGGUGACUUGGGUGGUGGUCCUUGUGGAUAUAACAGCUACUGUAAACUUGGCGCAAACCGAAGGCCUAGCUGUGAAUGCCUUCCUGGGUUUUCCCUCUCCGAUACCAGCAACGAGUUCGGUGGCUGCCAGCUGAACUUAAUGCCAAAUUGUGAGCAAGGAAAAUCAAAGCCAGAGGAUUUAUAUGCACUGCAAGAGGUGCUAAAUACAUAUUGGCCAUCUUCUUCAAACUACGAACAAUUGCAGUCACUAAAUGAAGAUGAGUGUGGACGAUUGUGCCUCUCUGAUUGUAACUGUGUUGUUGCUGUCAUCAAAGAGGGGACCUGUUGGAAGAAGAAAAUGCCACUUUCAAAUGGAAGGCAAGACUAUAGUAUCUAUGGGAAGGCUCUAGUUAAGGUAAGUAAAUAUGCUGUUUCUUUAGACGAUCCCUCUCGGCGAAAGUCAAAUACGGGGAACAAGGAUCAAAGAACUUUACUUCUGGGAGGAGCAAUUCUUCUAGGUAGCUCAGCACUACUUAUUUUCCUAUUUAUAGUAGCAGUAUCUCUGUUUCUGCUCCAACCACACAAUAGAAGAAGGAAACUUACCAGAUCAUCUAGCAUUCUGGAAACAAAUCUACGCAGUUUUACGUAUAAGGACCUGACAGAAGCCACGGAUGGAUUUAGAGAGCAGCUUGGACGAGGUUCGUUUGGAACUGUAUAUAAAGGACUAUUAACAUCACAGAGUUCAAGAAACUAUGUUGCAGUUAAGAAGUUGGAGAGGAUGGUGCAAGAAGGCGAGAAGGAAUUCAAAACAGAAGCAAGAGCGAUAGCCAAGACUCACCACAAGAAUUUGGUCAGAUUGCUUGGAUUCUGUGAUGAAGGGCCAAACAGGCUUUUGGUCUAUGAGUUUAUGAGCAAUGGAACCUUAGCUGGUUUCCUAUUUGGAAUUUCCAGACCUGACUGGAACAAACGCAUUCAAAUGGCAUUCGGCAUUGCACGAGCGCUUACAUACUUGCACGAGGAGUGUAGCACACAGAUUAUCCAUUGCGACAUCAAGCCCCAAAACAUACUCCUUGACGACACAUUUACAGCAAGAAUCUCAGACUUUGGACUGGCAAAGCUCUUAAUGAAUGAACAAACACGCACACAUACAGCUAUUAGAGGGACCCGAGGAUAUGUCGCACCAGAGUGGUUCAAGAACAUGCCAAUUACAGCAAAAGUAGAUGUUUAUAGUUAUGGGAUCAUGCUAUUGGAGAUAUUUGUUGCAGAAAGAGCCUUGAUAUGGAAAGUGAGAAAGAAGAGGAGAUCAUACUAGCAGACUGGGCCCAUGACUGCUAUAAACGAGGAAAAUUAGACGAGCUGGUGAAGGCUGACGAGGACGCGAAAAAUGACAUGAAGACGUUGGAGAGGUUAGUGAUGAUGUCAAUUUGGUGCAUACAAGAGGAUCCUUCUCUUAGACCUUCUAUGAGGACAGUUACACAAAUGCUUGAAGGAAUUGUUCAAGUUUCUGUCCCCCCAUGUCCUUCCCCUUUCAGUUCAAUCUGCUAAGAAAUACCAGUUCCAAAUUAUUCUCUCCUCACUUUCUCAUCAUUAAAUUUGCUUUGCAAGUCAUGUUGUUGAAGAAUGCCUCAAAAGCUGCAGGAAACCAGGAGGCUUCGUUGCUGCAUGCAGAAGAUCAGGAGAUUUUACUGUUGAAGGUCUCUUAUUGAAGACCAAGUUUUUAGGAAUAAAUCUAAUUGUAUUUGAAUAGUCUUUGCUUUGAACUAAAACUCUAUCUUUAUUUAAGAGUGUUAUGCAAUUAAUAAAAUCAUCUUUCUUAUUUUUCUUCAUUAUACUAUUAUUUAUGUUCAUGUUCUUCUGCACUUAGUGUAAAACAAUUAACAAAUUAGACGCUGUUUGGCGUUGUGGUUGCGUAUGAGGUUGAGGGGCAACCACAAUGCCGUGUGUUUGGUAAAUUUUAAACGGGGGUGUGUUUUGGUGGGACCCACCAGAAAAGUGUGUCCGAAAAUGUGGUUUAUCAAAAGCACGAGAAUAAUGCUUCUCAUCAACCUCAGUUUCACUCCGACCACAAGAAAAAAAACUGAAAAAACAGCCAACGGCUAAAAUCAAACUUCUCCUCCCCGAUUCAUAAAAACAAAAAUUCCAGAGAAAAAGUUAAGAACAUUCCAGCAAUGGAAAAACACACUUGUUGCCAUUUGAGGAAAAUAUAAAAAUGUCCCAAACUCCCCGAAUCGGGGAAAAAAUCCUUGAAAAAAUUCUACCAGCCCAUCGCCCAUAAAUAGCCGUUGGAGGAGAAUCAAACUUCCCAGUUCCUCCCCGAAUCGUCAACAAAAGCAGAGCAUCAACGAACCAACGGUGAAGCUUCAUUGUUUUCGGUCAGAUCUGGCUCAUCCCUCUGAGAAGAAAAUCGCAGAUCUCUCUCCGCCGACCAUCUUCUAUCAACUAAUGUGGAAACGAAUUUCCCUUUCUUUUUUCUACCCAAGACGCGCUUCCAUGUUGAUCCUGUAGAGAUCUGUUGAGGUAUGUUUCUCAUUUUUUCUUUUUCUUUAACAGUUAGGAGUAAUGUUGAUGCUGUGCUGAACUUCUUCAAAAUUAUUAGACGAUCUAGGCUUCUAUGUGUUGUAGUUGCCGAAAGAAUUUAUUUGCAUCUAGGUUGUCUGUUGUGUUCCCGUGAUCUUGUGGUUGUGGUUAUGCAGUGUAUGCUUGCAUUUGAUUUCACAGUGAAUUAUUUUUGUCAAAUCAGCUGAACUUGUUCAACAUUGGUUCUGGGCUUGUCUCUGUGUUGUAUUAGUCGAAAUUAGAAUAUAUUUGGUCACAAUAAGUUGUUAAUUUUAUUGGUUAUCUGUUACGGUUCCCCUGAUCUUGCAUCCAAAAUAUGCAGUUGCCGUUUGAUGAAUUUAAGUGCAGUUUUGUGUUGGUGCAGGAGGAACAAUACCAUUAAUCCUGCAAAAUCGUCUGGCAACAAAAAAGUGAAGCUGCUAUAAAAUCGAGUAAUUUAUUUCUGUUUCUUACGUUUACAUUACUACCUGCCUAUUUGUUUGUGCUGGAAUGAAACUUUGGGUGCUGUUUGUUGUUCUUGAUUGCAAUACUAUCCAUAUGUUGUUGUCAUUUUUUUGUUAUGUAACCACAACCAUCUGGGUUUGCAUGCUGAAAUUCAAAGGCAACUGUUAGAUGCUGGAUUUAUAAUUAUCCAUAUGCUUUCCUCGGUCAUGUGCAUUUGUGGCUGUGCAAAACUUUUUGGAAAUGGAAGUCUCAACCUUUUCAUUUCAUUUUUAAUCCUCAUUGUUGAUUUUUUGAAUGCUUGUACCGUGACCAUAUAUUUGCAUUCAAUUAUAAGUCAAAUGUUUUGAAUCUUAUAACAUAGAUAUUUUUUGUUCCAAAUGUAAUUACCGAACUAGGAAUGGAUGCUCCUGAAAAUAUGGAUAAAGCAGCAUGGACGAAAGAAAUGUUGCAUGUCUUUUGUGACCUUAGCAUCAAGGCUAUCGACAUGGGAAUGCGACCAAAUACUCAUUUCGACAAAGCUAGUUAGAAAUAUUUGUUAGGAUCAUUCAAAGAACACAUUGGUCAUGCAUUUACCAAGGCACAACUUAAGAACAAAUGGGAUGGCUGCAAAAAGGAUUGGAGAAUAUGGAAGAAGCUCAUUUCUGAAACUGGUGUGGGUUGGAGUACUGAAUUAGAAACAAUUUCUUCUAGUGAUGAAUGAUGGAAAUCCAAGAUUCAGGUUAUUUGGCACGAUCCUUAAUAAUUAAUUUGUUUACAUCUGAUUUCAAUUAUUAAUAAAUUAGUCAAAGUUGCGAGAAAUAAUUUUCUUUCUUUUGUGUAGGAAAUAAGGGGUGCAAAAAAGUUUAGGCACGCUGGUAUCGAACCAUCAUUGUGUAUGAAGUUCGAUAGAAUGUUCGCAAACAUUGUUGCUACUGGUGAGUAUGCGUGGGCACCAUCAUCUGGAGUCUUACCUGAUCAUAAUGUUGGUGUUGAUGGCAGUCAACGUACACAUGUUGAACAACCCGAUUUGGAAAAAGGCAGCGGUGAUUUUGAAGAGGACGAAAUUCCAAAUUUUGAUGAUGAUGUUUGCAACAUGGUUCGAGGGGUUAAUAUGGAUACCAGUAGCAACAGCCGCAGUAGUGGGAAGAGGAAAGAAAGACAACGGGUUGAGCUUCAAGCUGGGAAAAAAAAAAGGAAUUCCGGAAUUGGGUUUCAACUACUUUUACGAUGGGAUCACAUGGUUGACAGCAUGUCAAACACUAGUGAUUCCACAUCUAUCAGUAAAGAUCGGGAAGGGUGUAGUAUUCGUGAGGUUAUGACUGAGCUUCACUUGCAUGAGGGAGUGCAUAUAGGUGAUGAUUUUCAUGGGUUUGCUACUGAGAUUUUAGGUUUGAGAAGGAAUAGAGAAAUGUGGCAAACUAUGGGUAAUAUUGAAAACAAGAUUAAAUGGUCGCGGAGAAUGUAUACACGGCGUAAAGGAUCUUAGUCCGAGAGGUGUAUAUUAAUCCCAAAUGCCUGCUUUCAUAUCUUUUUUGCUAAUAUUAUUAUUUUAAUUGUUAUUUAACAUGUUUACAUCUCAUUUCUUGUCAUUUAUUUAAAUUUGCAGGUUAUGGAAGUUGUAGAUUUCUCAAGCUGCUAUGAAGUUAUAAAUUAAGUUAACAAUUGACACUGUAAUGAGAUGACGUCUGCAAUCAAUUAUGUUAUGGACUAUUAAUAUUUAUUAUGUACGCACCAUGGAUUGUAUUUUAAUGUAGUUCGAACCUGUAAUGUUAUUUGAGAAUUGUUGAGUCUUAUUAGUUAUGAUAUGCUAUAGAACGAUUUAAUAUGAAUUAUAUAAAUUUAUGAUGUGGACAUUGCUUUUAGUUUUUAACUGUUAAAUAUGUUGGUUGAUGAUGCAAAUUAAGGGUAUUGUUUGCAAUUGACAAAACAAAUUUCGUUGAUAAAUUUAACUGCAUUGGAGAUGUACAACUACAAAAUUGAAAUUAUAUUGGAAAGGGACGGGAAGGAAACUAAAAGAAUAUGUAAAUGGUUAGACAUAUUAAAUGUAAUUGUUCAGAAAUCCUUCAACACGGUAUAUACUAACAUCAAGGUAUAAAAUGAAGUCAAGCCUUGUGUAAAAUACUGUAAUCACAUUCAAAGUGUGUUGUAACACUAUUUUUUUACACGAUGAAAAAAACAAAAGUUUGUAAAGGCCUGGUUACUGGUGUAUUGCAGUGAUAAGAAACAUUGAGUUACAACUUGCAAACUGAUAAAGCUGACUGCUGUAUAGCAGUGAUAAGAAACAUUGUUUUACAGUUUGCAAACUGAUGUAAAGCCUGGUGUCAAAUACUGUAGUCACAUGGAAACUGGUGUAUUGCAGUAAUAGACAACAUAGUUUUAUCCAAUGGGAGGAAAGCUUCACCAAAAGUUAUAGUGAACCAGCCGAAACAGAGGAAAGAAACCGAAAAAAAGAAGAAGAAGAGAAGGCAAUACAAGUCCAGGGGCACCAAACAUAGGAAACAACCCGAGAAAGAGGAAGAAGAGAGGGCAACGCAGAUUGAACAAAACAGAGGAAACAACCCGAAAAGUUGAAGAACAAAGAUUGAACAAAACAGGGGCACCAAACAGAGGAAACAACCCGAGAAAGAGGAAGAAGAGAGGGCAACGCAGAUUGAACAAAACAGCGAAAACAACCCGAAAAGUUGAAGAACAAAGAUUGAACAAAACAGGGGCAUCAAACAGAGGAAGCAAACCGAAAAAGAGGAAGAAGAUAAGGAAACACAGGCACAAAACAAGGGCACCAUCUGUGAUAACCGACCGAACCAGACGGGUGGAAACAAGAUCACACACUCCUUGACGACACAUUUCCAACAAGAAUCUCAGACUUUGGACUGGCAAAGCUCUUAAUGAAUGAACAAACACGCACACAUACAACUAUUAGAGGGACCCGAGGAUAUGUCGCACCAGAGUGGUUCAGGAACAUGCCAAUUACAGCAAAAGUAGAUGUUUAUAGUUAUGGGAUCAUGCUAUUGGAGAUCAUUUGUUGCAGAAAGAGCCUUGAUAUGGAAAGUGAGAAAGAAGAGGAGAUCAUACUAGCAGACUGGGCCCAUGACUGCUAUAAACGAGGAAAAUUAGACGAGCUGGUGAAGGCUGACGAGGACGCGAAAAAUGACAUGAAGAAAUUGGAGAGGUUAGUGAUGGUGUCAAUUUGGUGCAUACAAGAGGAUCCUUCUCUUAGACCUUCUAUGAGGACAGUCACACAAAUGCUUGAAGGAAUUGUUCAAGUUUCUGUCCCCCCAUGUCCUUCCCCUUUCAGUUCAAUCUGCUAAGAAAUACCAGUUCCAAAUUAUUCUCUCCUCACUUUCUCAUCAUUAAAUUUGCUUUGCAAGUCAUGUUGUUGAAGAAUGCCUCAAAAGCUGCAGAAAACCAGGAGACUUCGUUGCUGCAGAAGAUCAGGAGAUUUUACUGUUGAAGGUCUCUUAUUGAAGACCAAGUUUUUAGGAAUAAAUCUAAUUGUAUUUGAAUAGUCUUUCUAUCUUUAUUUAAGAGUGUUAUGCAAUUAAUAAAAUUAUCUUUUUUAUUUUUCUUCAUUAUACUAUUAUUUAUGUUCAUGUUCUGCAUUUAGUGUAAAACAAUUAACAAAUAGAUAUGAGAGUCAUAAUUAUCUUGAGGGACUUUUGAGUUGAGAAAACCAAAACACAAACCAAACCAUAAAUACAAAAUCAAAAAACACAAAAAUAGAAACUGAAACAAUCAUCUCACACGGUUCACCACUAAUCUUCAAUGGUGAUAACUAUGAAGCUUGGGCCAUCAAAAUAACAGUUCCUUAAAAACUAUGUUGUUCCUGAUUUACCUACAAAUCCAACAAUAGCUCAACUAAAGAUUCAUAAGGAAAAAAAAACAAGGAAGUCCAAAGCUAAAGCUUGCUUAUGUGUUGUAGCGUCAAACAUAAUAUUCACAAGAAUCAUGAAUUAGGAAUCUACAGAAGGUAUUUGGGACUAUCUUAAAAAAGAAUAUCAGUGUAAUGAAAGAACUAAAAAUAUGCAGGCUCUCAACUUAAUCAAAGAAUUUGAAAUGUAAAAGAUGAAUGAGACAUAAAACAUCAAAGAUUAUGCUGAUAAAUUACUAAGCAUAAUAAACAACGUAAGAUUGCUUGGAAAUGAAUUUUUUGAUGACCGAAUUGUGCAAAAGAUAUUAGUAACCAUGCCUGAAAAAUACGAGUUUAAGAUUUCUUCAUUAGAAGAGUCAAAAGACUUGACCAAUAUAUCUCUUGGAGAAAUGAUAAAUGCAUUGCAGGCACAAAAGCAAAGAAGAUUGAUGAGACAUGAGGAAACAAUGCAGGGAGCCUUUCAAGCAAGUGCUUAAUACCCAGGAGGAGGCAAAAACAAGAGAUUCAACAAGAAGAAAAAUGCUGAAAAUUACAGAAACAAGGUGGAGACAUAUCAACCAUGUUUUUACUAUAAAAAAAUAAAUAACUAGCAGAUAAAAUAUUGGUGGAGACGAGACAUUAAGUGCAACAAAUGUGGUCAGAUUGGAUACAUUGAAAGAAUCUGCAGAUCACAACAAUAUAAAGAAAAAACGAAUCCUAUUGCUCAACAACUUGAAAAGGAGCAACUGUUUGUUGCAUCAUGUUUUUCAGCAAGCAACAACUCGAGUGAUUCCUGGUUAAUGACAGUGGUUGCACAAACCAUAUGACAAAUAAUCAAGAAUUGUUCAAGAAACUUGAUAGAAUUGCUAUUUCAAAAGUCAAAAUUGAAAAUGGUGAUUAUAUUGUUGUCAAAGGAAAAUGAAUUGUUGCUAUAAACAAUUUAUUAGGUUUGAAGUACAUUUCAAAUGUAUUAUAUAUAUGUGCCUGAUAUAGAUUAGGAAUUGUUUAAGAAACUUGAGAGACCUGUUAUUUCCAAAGUCAAACUUGAAAAUGGUGAUUAUAUUGCUGUCAAAGGCAAAGGAUUUGUUGCUAUAAACAACCUGUCAGGUUUGAAGUACAUUUCAGAUGUAUUAUAUAUGCCUAACAUUGAUCAUAAUUUGCUAAGUGUUAGACAACUUAUAAAGAAAGGUUUCAAAGUGAUAUUUGAAGACAAAUGAUGCUUGAUCAAUGACAACAUAGGUAACAACGUUUUCAGAGUGAAAAUGAAAGCAAAAGGUUUUACUUUAAAUCUUAUGGAGGAAGAACAAAGUGUUUUAGCUAUAAAACAUGCAAUGACAAACUAUGGCAUAGAAGACUUGGACAUUUUCAUCAUGAUGGGCUAAUAUAUAUGCAAAAACAUAAUCUUGUAAGCGGUGUUCCAUAUCUGGAGAACAAAUCUACCAACUAUGCAACAUAUCAUUAUGAAAGCGGGCUAGAAAACCUUUUCCUCAAACUACAUGGAGAGCAACACAUAAACUUCAAUUGGUACAUAUAGAUGUUGGAGGUCCCUAGAGAAUAGCUUCACUAAAUGGUAGUAGAUACUACAUAAUCUUUAUAGAUGAUUAUUUUAAAUUUUAUUGAAUUUUUUCCUUAAAUUCAAAUAUGAAGUUACUAAUGUAUUUUGGAAGUAUAAAACAUGGAUGGAAAAACAAAGUGGAUGCAAGAUUAAGACAUUAAGGUUUGACAAUGGAAAGGAAUAUACUAGUGAAAGAUUUCAGCAAUUUUGUUAUGAAUCCGGGAUUGAACACCAACUUAUAGAACCUUACACUCCACAAAAAAUCAUAACCUAAUUUUUGACCAUUUUAUUUUAAUUAUUAUUAUUAUUAUUAUUUUAUUUAUUGAAAAUGAUAAAAAAAAUGAUGAAAAAAAAUAAUAAUGAUGGAAAAAUAAGUAAAAUGAAAUAAAUGAAGAAUGAAUUAAACUUUGGAAUUAAUCUAAUUAAGCAUGUAAUUAAUUUAAUUAAUCCAAUUAAGGGUUUAAUUGGAGAAUUGAUAAAUUAUUAGACUUCAUUGAGCUUGGAAUUAAUUUAUUUAAUCCAAUCAAGGGUUUAAUUGGAGAAUUGAUUAAGUUUGGAGACUUAAUUAAGCUUGAAAUUAAUUUAAUUCAUCCAAUCAAGGGUUUAAUUGGAGAAUUGAUAAGUUUUGAGAUUUAAUUAAGCUUGGAAUUAAUUUAAUUAAUCCAAUUAAGGCGCUUAAUUGGAGAAUUGAUAAGUUUUAGACUUAAUUGGACUUUGGAUUUGAUUAAAUUAAUGAAAUCAGGGACUUAAUUGAAGAAAUAGUAAAGUUUGGGGUUAAUUGGGGGCACAAUUGUAACAGAUUAAAGUCCAAGGACUAACUUGUAAAAGGUGCUGGAAUGCAGGGGCAAUUACAGUUUAAACCAGGGACUUAAUUAUAAAAUUUUCAGAACUUCACGGGCCAAAACGCAAAUGGCCACCUCAUAUACCAAAACAAUGUCGUUUGAAAGAACACUGUUCAUCUUCUUGUUCUUUAACCAGAGGUCGUUUCCAGCAGUAAUGGGCAAUAAUCAUCCUCUCACUUCAGUUAUGGACGUUUUAAUGUUGUCGUCCCUCUACAUGCCGUACGUUACCACCCGCCGAGCUCUAUAUAAACGGAGGAGCACCGAAAAACAGAGGUUGGUGAGAGAGAGAGAGAGAGAGGGACGAACAAAACCCGAAGAGAGAAACACAAAGAUACCAACCGAAUUUUUAAAUGUUUUUUAGAACCUCAUAUAGAAGUGAACCUUUCCCUCACCAAUACCGGACUAAAACAAUGAAAACAAAAACAAACCGAGAGAGAGUACAGAGAAUUUGAAAAACAGAGCAUGGGGAUAAUUUUUCAGACAAGGGCAGAGGAAACAAAGGGCAGUAAGGCAGAGGUCGAAGGAGGAAUUCUAGCUUAAUAUUGACGAACACCACCACUGAUCGUUGCCCGACACGCUUACACUCUGGCAAAGCAACCUGCAACAAGGUAGGCUUCCUCUGUUUUCUUUGUUUUUUAACUUUCGAAAGUUCAGUGCAUUUAGCACUGUGCAAAGGCAAUUAAUUACCUUCGCACAGCGCCAUGCACGAAUGAGACUAGUUCAUGCGUGCUGUGGCCCAGCCGGGUCACUGGCUUGGGCCAGUGAUCGAGCUGGGUCUAACCCAGCCCAUGUGGACUGCGCUAGGCCCAGCCCCAAAAAUAAUAAAAAGUAAAUAAAAAAAUAUAAAAAUUGGAAAAAUAGAAAAAUAUGUGUAUGCAUGAAUAAAAAUAAUAUAAAUUUACUUGUUUAUUCACUAAUGUUAUAGUCGGGAAUAAAAUACUAGCUUAAAUUUAUAUUAUUUUUUUUUCAUUAUAUUUUAUUUAGCAAGAAAAAAUAAAACAAAUAAAAAGUAUAUGUGCAUGUAUGAAAAAUAAAAUUUAUUUUAUUGGUUUAUUCACUGACGCCAGAGUCAGGAAUAAAAACACUGAUUUAAUUAUAUUUUUGUUUUUUAUUUAACUACAUAAGAAAUAAAAAAAAUAAGUGAAUGCGUAAUAAGAUGAAUUUAGUUUAUUUGUUUAUUCACUAGCGUUAAAGUCAGGAACAAAAAAAUAUUGAUCUAAAUUUAUUUUAUAGCUACAUAAUAGUUACCAACGCCAGAGUUGGAAUUAUCUGUAGUUGAAUAUUCACCGGCGCCAGAGUCAGGAAUAUUGCGAAUAAACCAUCAGAGCAUAAACCAAUAAAAAUUUAGUAAUUUAAAACAAAACAAGUAAUGCAGUUUGCCUUAGGUAGAAAGUUUAAGGGGUGAUAAUAUCUUUCCUUUUAUGUAACUAGUCCUGAACCAUAGAAUCUCUGUUGAUCAGUUAGGGUUCCUAGUGACCAUAAUACUAGGUGGCGACUUAAUUAGACAAGACAUUUUUUUUUAAAGAACAAAAUGCCGGAAAUCUGUCCUUUUUCCAUAAUCGAGAACUAUUUUUAGGGCCGCCGCGAUGUUGGCUGCUACAAAUGGUAUGAGUGAAAGAAAAAAAGGAGCAUUAUGGAAAUGACUAGAUUCAUGUUGAAUGAAAAAGAGGUGCCGAAAAAACCAUGGGCUGAAGCUGCAAACACAUUGGUGUAUUUGCUGAACAGAAUGCCAACUAGUGCGUUGCAGAAAAGAACUUCAUAUGAAGCUUGGUUUGGAAACAAACCAGACUUCUAACAUUUAAAAAAAUUUGGUCGCCCUUGUUUCAGAUAUGUGCCACAAGUUAAAAGAGACAAAUUGGAUAAGGAGGCUGAAUCAUGAGUGUUCAUUGGAUACAAUAAUCCAUCAAAAGCUUACAGAAUCUUCCAACCUCAAAAUAGAAAAAUUCUAGUAAGCAAAGAUGAUAACUUCAUGGAAGAUAAAUAAUGGAAAUUGGAGGAACCAAAAGAGAAGCAGGAAUCCUUAAAAGAGAAGCAAUAAUCUUCAACUUGGGAGAUUGUUAAUGACCCGUAUUGAUGAUGAACCGGUCAAAGGUACAAGAUCCUUAUAUGAGAUUUAUGAAAGUAGCAACAUUGCUAUUUGUGAGCCUGUAGAAUUUAAAAAGGUAGUGAAGAACAACGAAUGGAUUAAAACAAUGAAAAAGGAACUUAGAAUGAUUGAAAAGAAUGAUACCUAGGUGCUGAUGGAAAAACCCUUACAUAAAAAGGCCAUAGGAAUCAAAAGGGUUUAUAGAGCCAAACAAAAUACAUAUGGUUAUAUAAACAAAUACAAAGCUAGAUUAGUUGUGAAGGGCUAUACUCAAGUGUUUGGAGUGGAUUUCUUAAAAACUUUUGUGCCGGUAGCAAGACUUGAUACAAUCAGAUUGCUACUUGCAUUGUCUGCAUAAAAGGAUUGGAAAUUGUAUCAGUUAGAUGUAAAAUAUGUUUUCUUAGGAUAUUAGCAGGAGGAGAUUUUCAUAGAAAAACCACAAGGUUUUGAAGUCAAGGGGAAAGAAGAGAAGGUCUAUCUGUUAAAGAAGACAUUAUAUGGCCUUAAACAGACUCCUAGAGCAUGGUAUAACAGAAUUAAUGAGCAUCUACAUAAACUUUGCCUCGUCAAAAGUCCAAGUGAGGCCACAUUGUAUGUAAAAGGAACUAAUGAAAACUGUAACAAGAAGUGAUAAGACACUAAUAGAAGAGUUCAUGGCUAAAAUGUUGAAUAUAUUUGAGAUGACAAACCUUGGUUUGGUGUCUUACUUCCUCAAAAUGGAGGUGAAACAAAGCAAUGAUGGAAUCUUCAUAUAUCAAAAGAAGUAUGUUAAGAAGAUCUUGAAAAAGUUUCACAUAGAGAACUGCAAAAGGACAAGCACUCUUAUGAAUCUAAAGGAAAAAUUCAAUAAGAAUGAUAGAAUAAACAAAGUAAAUGAAGGUCAAUACAAAAGCGUAAUUAGGUGUUUGAUGUAUCUUACAUCAACAAGACCUGAUUUUGCAUUUGCUGUAAGUUUGCUCUCACGGUUCAUGCAUUGUGCAAGUGAAUUACAUUUUCAAGGUGCCAAAAAGAUUAUGAGAUAUAUCAAGGGUAUAUAAAAUUCUCUCAUUUUCAAUUUUUUUUGCUUUCUGGCUAUUCUAAAAAUAACUGGGCAGGAUCUUUGGAUGAUAUGAAAAGCACUUUGGGCUAUUAUUUUAUCUUCCUAUUAGGCAUGUUCUCUUGGUUUUAAAGGAAGCUAGAUGUGGUUGCUCAAAGGACAGCUGAGGCUGAAUAAAUAGCAGCUACUAUUGUUGUAAAUUAAGCAAUUUAGAUAAGAAAGAGCCAACACAAAUUUAUGUUGACAAUCAAGCUGUAAUUUUUAUUGCAAAUAAUCCUAUUUUUUAUGGCAAGACUAAGCACUUUAAAAUCAAGUUAAAUUUUUUAAGAGAAGUUCAGGAAGAAGAAGUUACUCAUUUGUUUCAAGAUGAGGCUUUUAGUACUUUUGUUGCUGAAUUUGAUAGCAAUAAGCUCAACCCAAGAGUUAGUAAUGACAAAGAAGGAAAGGAAGAAGCACUAGAGGCUGAAAUAGAGAGGCUUAAAGAGCCGCUGAAGCAGGUAAACUCUGAGAAGUUUCUGGUGCAGAGAUUCUAACAUUCUGCUUACUGAUCCUGGGAUUUUCCCAUGGAAGCAGGUAUGGUUUCGUGUUAAUGAGCAGCUACCAGUUAAUUUGCAGAAGUCAUUGCCUGACGGACCACCUGAAAUGCAAUCUGCUGGUAUACAUGGAGGUGAGGGCAUUUCCCAUGGAUAAAUCAAAGUUUUGUUUUUCUGUAGAGUUAUCCUUUCCCUGAUUGAGUUAUCUGAUAUGAAAUUCAGUAUCAGGUCUGAACUUGGUUGAAUUCAUUCAGAACUUUUGAAUUUUAAAAUAUACGAUGUUUUCUUAAUUGAAUAGCCAAAUUGUUUUUGGUUUAGACCUUGCUAAAUGUGGAAAUGAUUACUAUAAUAGGUAUCGCAAAAGCUGCAAAUAGGUCGCCUCCAAUGCCUCAAAGAAGUCCACCACCUCCUCCUUCAUCUGGGGGUGGGGGAGGUGGGGGACAGCUUGGUGCUUUCUGGUCAACGCAUCACGCUAAGGAUUCACUGUUUUUCGAAGACAAGAGCGGACCUAAAUUUGAUGAAGAACCUAGCCAUAACACAUCACAACAAGAUAGGAAUCAGUCAGAGAAUCGCAGUUUUCCCAAAAACGCUAGUCCUGCAAAGCAAGAAAAUGUACAUACCAUUGUGGCUGGUAGGAGGAAUGUGCA